UACGGGGGGGGCAAGCGUUGUUCGGAAUUACUGGGCGUAAAGGGUUCGUAGGCGGUUUGGUAAGUCUUAUGUGAAAUCUACAGGCUCAACUUGUAGUCUGCAUGAGAAACUGCCGGGCUUGAGUGUGGGAGAGGUGAGUGGAAUUCCUGGUGUAGCGGUGAAAUGCGUAGAUAUCAGGAGGAACACCUGUGGCGAAAGCGGCUCACUGGACCAUAACUGACGCUGAUGCACGAAAGCUAGGGGAGCAAACAGG
Molecule: ribosomal RNA, 253 nt
Filed under: uncultured bacterium
Lineage: Bacteria
Description: partial 16S ribosomal RNA
Rfam family: Bacterial small subunit ribosomal RNA
Source: RNAcentral